RNAcentral lists this ribosomal RNA (481 nucleotides) under uncultured bacterium. Its description in RNAcentral is "partial 16S ribosomal RNA". It matches the Rfam family "Bacterial small subunit ribosomal RNA", at positions 29 to 504 of the family's 1533-position model. The record is from RNAcentral.
AUUGAACGCUGGCGGCAGGCCUAACACAUGCAAGUCGAGCGGAUGAAGGGAGCUUGCUCCUGGAUUCAGCAGCGGACGGGUGAGUAAUGCCUAGGAAUCUGCCUGGUAGUGGGGGAUAACGUCCGGAAACGGGCGCUAGUACCGCAUACGUCUUGAGGGAGAAAGUGGGGGAUCUUCGGACUUCACGCUAUCAGAUGAGCCUAGGUCGGAUUAGCGAGCGGGUGGGGUAAAGGCCAACCAAGGCGACGAUCGGUGACUGGUCUGAGAGGAUGAGCAGGCACACCGGAAAGGAUGCCCGGUCAAGACUCGAACGAGAGGCAGCAGAGGGGAAUAUGGGACGAUGGAGGAGAGACUGAUCCAGCCUGGCCGCGUGUGUGAAGAAGGUCUGCCGAGUGUAAAGCGCUUUAAGUUGGGAGGAAGAGCAGUAAGUGAAGACCUGGCUGUGUCGACGCUAGCAACAGAAGAAGCACCGGCGAACGUC